UACGAAGGGUGCAAGCGUUACUCGGAAUCACUGGGCGUAAAGCGUGCGUAGGCGGUUUCUUAAGUCUGUCGUGAAAGCCCUGGGCUCAACCUGGGAACGGCGAUGGAUACUGGGAAGCUAGAAUGUGAGAGAGGAUGGUGGAAUUCCCGGUGUAGCGGUGAAAUGCGUUGAGAUCGGGAGGAACACCAGUGGCGAAGGCGGCCAUCUGGCUCAACAUUGACGCUGAGGCACGAAAGCGUGGGGAGCAAACAGG
RNAcentral lists this ribosomal RNA (253 nucleotides) under uncultured bacterium. Its description in RNAcentral is "partial 16S ribosomal RNA". It matches the Rfam family "Bacterial small subunit ribosomal RNA", at positions 524 to 776 of the family's 1533-position model. The record is from RNAcentral.